GAACGCUGGCGGCGUGCCUAAUACAUGCAAGUCGAGCGAACGGACGAGAAGCUUGCUUCUCUGAUGUUAGCGGCGGACGGGUGAGUAACACGUGGAUAACCUACCUAUAAGACUGGGAUAACUUCGGGAAACCGGAGCUAAUACCGGAUAAUAUUUUGAACCGCAUGGUUCAAAAGUGAAAGACGGUCUUGCUGUCACUUAUAGAUGGAUCCGCGCUGCAUUAGCUAGUUGGUAAGGUAACGGCUUACCAAGGCAACGAUGCAUAGCCGACCUGAGAGGGUGAUCGGCCACACUGGAACUGAGACACGGUCCAGACUCCUACGGGAGGCAGCAGUAGGGAAUCUUCCGCAAAGGGCGAAAGCCUGACGGAGCAACGCCGCGUGAGUGAUGAAGGUCUUCGGAUCGUAAAACUCUGUUAUUAGGGAAGAACAUAUGUGUAAGUAACUGUGCACAUCUUGACGGUACCUAAUCAGAAAGCCACGGCUAACUACGUG
RNAcentral lists this ribosomal RNA (494 nucleotides) under uncultured bacterium. Its description in RNAcentral is "partial 16S ribosomal RNA". It matches the Rfam family "Bacterial small subunit ribosomal RNA", at positions 31 to 507 of the family's 1533-position model. The record is from RNAcentral.